This 153-nucleotide small RNA is filed under the name Salmonella enterica subsp. enterica serovar Typhimurium str. SL1344. RNAcentral describes it as "STnc770". Lineage: Bacteria; Pseudomonadati; Pseudomonadota; Gammaproteobacteria; Enterobacterales; Enterobacteriaceae. RNAcentral also lists the same sequence under 1 other name. The record is from RNAcentral.
AUAGCAGUUAUGAGUAUGCGUGUUUCAUUUACGGCCAGGAACGCUGAUGAUGACAACAUUACUCCCUCUUUUCCGGGUACCUACAUCAUUCACUCCCUUUGACGGCGAGCGCUUCAUCGGCGUCUGUUCGUCGUCUGGCCCCUUUUCUUUUUU